RNAcentral lists this ribosomal RNA (505 nucleotides) under uncultured bacterium. RNAcentral's name for it is "partial 16S ribosomal RNA". It matches the Rfam family "Bacterial small subunit ribosomal RNA", at positions 28 to 507 of the family's 1533-position model. The record is from RNAcentral.
GACGAACGCUGGCGGCGUGCCUAAUACAUGCAAGUAGAACGCACAGUUUAUACCGUAGCUUGCUACACCAUAGACUGUGAGUUGCGAACGGGUGAGUAACGCGUAGGUAACCUGCCUGGUAGCGGGGGAUAACUAUUGGAAACGAUAGCUAAUACCGCAUAAUAUUGAUUAUUGCAUGAUAAUUGAUUGAAAGAUGCUAUUGCAUCACUACCAGAUGGACCUGCGUUGUAUUAGCUAGUAGGUGAGGUAACGGCUCACCUAGGCGACGAUACAUAGCCGACCUGAGAGGGUGAUCGGCCACACUGGGACUGAGACACGGCCCAGAAUCCUACGGGAGGCAGCAGUAGGGAAUCUUCGGCAAUGGACGAAAGUCUGACCGAGCAACGCCGCGUGAGUGAAGAAGGUUUUCGGAUCGUAAAGCUCUGUUGUAAGAGAAGAACGGGUGUGAGAGUGGAAAGUUCACACUGUGACGGUAUCUUAACAGAAAGGGACGGCUAACUACGUG